RNAcentral lists this ribosomal RNA (253 nucleotides) under uncultured bacterium. RNAcentral describes it as "partial 16S ribosomal RNA". It matches the Rfam family "Bacterial small subunit ribosomal RNA", at positions 524 to 776 of the family's 1533-position model. The record is from RNAcentral.
UACGUAGGGUGCAAGCGUUAAUCGGAAUUACUGGGCGUAAAGCGUGCGCAGGCGGUUUUGUAAGUCUGUCGUGAAAUCCCCGGGCUUAACCUGGGAAUUGCGAUGGAGACUGCAAGGCCAGAAUCUGGCAGAGGGGGGUAGAAUUCCACGUGUAGCAGUGAAAUGCGUAGAGAUGUGGAGGAACACCGAUGGCGAAGGCAGCCCCCUGGGUCAAGAUUGACGCUCAUGCACGAAAGCGUGGGGAGCAAACAGG